UACAGAGGUCCCAAGCGUUGUUCGGAUUCACUGGGCGUAAAGGGUGCGUAGGUGGUCGGGUAAGUCUGAUGUGAAAUCUCAGAGCUCAACUCUGAAACUGCAUUGGAUACUAUCCGGCUUGAGGAUCGGAGGGGGGACUGGAAUUCUCGGUGUAGCAGUGAAAUGCGUAGAUAUCGAGAGGAACACCAGUGGCGAAGGCGAGUCCCUGGACGACUCCUGACACUGAGGCACGAAAGCUAGGGGAGCAAACAGG
RNAcentral lists this ribosomal RNA (253 nucleotides) under uncultured prokaryote. RNAcentral describes it as "partial 16S ribosomal RNA". It matches the Rfam family "Bacterial small subunit ribosomal RNA", at positions 524 to 776 of the family's 1533-position model. The record is from RNAcentral.